GAUGAACGCUGGCGGCGUGCCUAAUACAUGCAAGUCGAGCGAACAGACGAGGAGCUUGCUUCUCUGACGUUAGCGGCGGACGGGUGAGUAACACGUGGAUAACCUACCUAUAAGACUGGGAUAACUUCGGGAAACCGGAGCUAAUACCGGAUAAUAUAUUGAACCGCAUGGUUCAAUAGUGAAAGACGGUUUUGCUGUCACUUAUAGAUGGAUCCGCGCGGCAUUAGCUAGUUGGUAAGGUAACGGCUUACCAAGGCAACGAUGCAUAGCCGACCUGAGAGGGUGAUCGGCCACACUGGAACUGAGACACGGUCCAGACUACUACGGGAGGCAGCAGUAGGGAAUCUUCCGCAAUGGGCGAAGGCCUGACGGAGCAACGCCGCGUGAGUGAUGAAGGUCUUCGGAUCGUAAAACUCUGUUAUUAGGGAAGAACAAAUGUGUAAGUAACUAUGCACAUCUUGACGGUACCUAAUCAGAAAGCCACGGCUAACUACGUG
This 497-nucleotide ribosomal RNA is filed under the name uncultured bacterium. RNAcentral describes it as "partial 16S ribosomal RNA". It matches the Rfam family "Bacterial small subunit ribosomal RNA", at positions 28 to 507 of the family's 1533-position model. The record is from RNAcentral.